This 460-nucleotide ribosomal RNA is filed under the name uncultured bacterium. Its description in RNAcentral is "partial 16S ribosomal RNA". It matches the Rfam family "Bacterial small subunit ribosomal RNA", at positions 338 to 795 of the family's 1533-position model. The record is from RNAcentral.
CCUACGGGAGGCAGCAGUGAGGAAUAUUGGUCAAUGGGCGGAAGCCUGAACCAGCCAAGUAGCGUGCAGGAUGACUGCCCUACGGGUUGUAAACUUCUUUUAUAAAGGAAUAAAGUGAGACACGCGUGCCUGUUUGUGUGUACUUUAUGAAUAAGGAUCGGCUAACUCCGUGCCAGCAGCCGCGGUAAUACGGAGGAUGCGAGCGUUAUCCGGAUUUAUUGGGUUUAAAGGGAGCGUAGAUGGGUGGUUAAGUCAGUGGUGAAAGUUUGCGGCUCAACCGUAAAAUUGCCAUUGAUACUGGCAGCCUUGAGUACAGUUGAGGUAGGCGGAAUUCGUGGUGUAGCGGUGAAAUGCUUAGAUAUCACGAAGAACUCCGAUUGCGAAGGCAGCAUACUAACCUGCCACUGACAUUGAUGCUCGAAAGUGUGGGUAUCGAACAGGAUUAGAUACCCUUGUAGUC